Molecule: long non-coding RNA, 865 nt
Organism: Rhipicephalus sanguineus (brown dog tick)
Lineage: Eukaryota; Metazoa; Arthropoda; Arachnida; Ixodida; Ixodidae
Exons: 4
Source: RefSeq, a predicted model, not a curated record
GAUUUGAAUUGAACGUUCAUGCUAAAAUACAAAACUGAGUGACAUUUCAUAUCACAAUUCGGUUGAAUAUUCGUAUUUCCACACCGCAAUGUCAUUUUCCUGCAAAUACUCUUAUUCACUUAGGGACCUUGUAAUCUGUGGUAAUUUAUAUAUCUGUGAAUGAUUCUCUCCCCCAGUUUUGGAACACAACGGAGCCAAUAUGGACCUACACCACCGCGAAAGUAGGAGGACCAAAUAUUUCUUGUCUCGUCGACGUCAAGAUAAAUCAGACUGGCAGUUACGCCUACAUUGUAAGGUCUUACUACAAUUUAGAGAAGGAGAAAGAAAAAGAAAAUGUCACGCUUAAGGGACUUGUUAGUGUCCGUAAUAGAUACGAUCCAGAAGCAAUGAUACUUUCCUAUGCAAAUAAUUACACGACGUAUGCCUCUGAGAGAUUGCUAUAUCAAAGUAGAGACAACAGCUGCGGAGUCUUUAGAGUGCAACGAGGCAUUGACCCUUUCAGGCUCGACCUACGAGUGAAAAAUUCUUCUGUAUCGAAGGAACUUGACCGAGGAUGCUCAGCGUAUUUCUGGGCAGCAUACGAACAUCACCGACACCGUCACCUCCUUAGCAAUGUCACACUGUACGAGCCUUCUUGUCAGAGAAUACUUCAGUCGCCAGCCAUUGGAUGUUAGCCAAAAAAAGCGUUACCUGUUUACAUUGUACUAUCCCACUAUAUGGAGAUGGUAUGUCGUGGCAACUCCACCUGUAGUGACCAUGUUGCUGUUACAUCAUUCUUGCCAUUCUUCCGUACACGAAGCACCGACCUUUAUGCUGCAUUGGAGCAGUCAGUAAAAACCACUUUGCUCAAUGAAUUCCUCUUGCU